GACGAACCGUGCAAACGUUGUUCGGAAUCACUGGGCUUAAAGGGCGCGUAGGCGGGCGAGCAAGUCCGGGGUGAAAUCUUUCGGCUUAACCGGAAAAGUGCCUUGGAUACUGCUCGUCUGGAGGAAGGUAGGGGCAGGUGGAACUUCUGGUGGAGCGGUGAAAUGCGUUGAUAUCAGAAGGAACGCCGGUGGCGAAAGCGACCUGCUGGACCUUUUCUGACGCUGAGGCGCGAAAGCUAGGGGAGCAAACGGG
This 253-nucleotide ribosomal RNA is filed under the name uncultured bacterium. RNAcentral describes it as "partial 16S ribosomal RNA". It matches the Rfam family "Bacterial small subunit ribosomal RNA", at positions 524 to 776 of the family's 1533-position model. The record is from RNAcentral.